Molecule: ribosomal RNA, 117 nt
Organism: Paramormyrops kingsleyae
Lineage: Eukaryota; Metazoa; Chordata; Actinopteri; Osteoglossiformes; Mormyridae
Source: Ensembl
UUACUCAGCCAUACCACCUGCAGUUCUGACUAGGUAAUCCAUCUGAAGCUAAGCAGGUUUGGGCCUGGCUAGUACUUGGAUGGUAGACCAACUAGGAAAGCUGGGUUGCUGCUGAAA